AAACUGCGAUAAGUAGUGUGAAUUGCAGAAUUCUGUGAAUCAUCAAACCCUUGAACGCACAUUGCACCUGGGCGUUAUGUCCAGGUACGCCUGUUCGAGCAUCGGUUUUCCUUCUCAUCCCUACCCCCAGGGGUAUGCGGAUUGGACUUGAGCUUCUGACUAACCUCAGUGGCUUGAAACACAUUGGUGGGCAACCCUCAGGGGACUUCAACCAGGCCUUCAGAACAAUCUCUGGUACUAGAUAUGCCUAGCAUACUUUGCCAGGACUCUGACAGUGUCUUUGAAUCGCCUGAUACGGCUGCUGGCCUUACCAGGUCCUUGCGACCUACCUUUCAAACCUUCGAUCUCGAAUCAGGCGGGACUACCCGCUGAAUUUAA
This 378-nucleotide unclassified non-coding RNA is filed under the name uncultured Spizellomycetaceae. RNAcentral's name for it is "sequence contains ITS1". The stretch from base 1 to 104 matches the Rfam family "5.8S ribosomal RNA", at positions 50 to 154 of the family's 154-position model. Lineage: Eukaryota; Fungi; Chytridiomycota; Chytridiomycetes; Spizellomycetales; Spizellomycetaceae. The record is from RNAcentral.